Long non-coding RNA from Cyanistes caeruleus (blue tit), 4672 nucleotides. RefSeq lists it as uncharacterized. Lineage: Eukaryota; Metazoa; Chordata; Aves; Passeriformes; Paridae. The record is from RefSeq and is a predicted model, not a curated record.
GUCUUAUGGCAACACACAUGGCUCACCGAAAUGUACCACAAAGCUUUGAUCACAAUGGUUUACCUACAGAAUCAAGUUAUCACCUCCUAGCUGCCAGCCUUUUGCUCCAUGUAUGAGAUUUUUCUCCCCCUCACAAAGCCACUGAAUCUGGGCUGCACAAGGAACAGAACCGUUAGAAAAUUCAUCCAAAUUGAAGGGAUGCUGACUCCAUCACUUCCCUGGGAAGCCUGGUCCAAUGCCUGAAAAACCUUCUGUGAAGAAAUUUUCCUGAUGUUCAACCUAAACAUCCACUGGCACAACUUAAGACUAUUUCCUCUUGUUUUGUCAUUUUUACCUGAGUGAAGAGACCAACCUUCACUUCACUAUACCCUCCACUCAGGGAGCUGUAGAGAGCAUCCUUUUCUCCAGGCUAAACACCCCCAACUUCUUCAACUGCUCCUCAUCAGACAUGUGCUCCAGACCCUUCCCUUGUUCUGUUGGACUUCUCUGGACAUGCUCUAGCACUUCAAUGUCAUUCUUGAAAGCAGUGCUGAUAGAGGACUCAAGGUGCCAAUGGUCACAUGCUAAAGGUGCAGCCACUGUCAGUUAGCACCAGGUCCCUUCCUGUGGUCCCAGAGCCACUUUCCAGCCCCUCUUCCCUAAGCCUGAAGUGCUGUCUGGAGCUGUGACCCAAAGGCAGGAAAGGCACUUGGUCUUGCUGAACCUCACACAGCAGGCCUUGCCUCAUCAAUCCAGCCUGUCCAGAUUCCUCUGCAGAGCCUUCCUGCCCUCCAGUGGAUCAACAUUCCGUUUUGAUUGAUUUUACCUGCUGAGGAGUUUUGCUCCUGUUCUGAGCAUGCAAAAGGAGAACAUGUCACUUGAUCCUGUCUUGAUACAAGUAAUACUAGCCACAGCUAGUCCAAGAUCUAGAGUCCUCAUUGGUAAAGGAGAAUCAUCCAGUCUUCAGAAGAAGCAACAACGGCAUGGGUCCCAAAGAGCACUGACACUAAGAAUCUGUUCUAAACAUAAAGUUAUGGUACAAGGAAAAGCUCCAAUAUUUAUAUUCACUUCAUGCUUCACCAAGAGUGUUUUAUCUGUAGAAUGCUUGCAGAACUCAUUCCAUACUCUGAAUAUGAAUGUGGAUAUUAACAGCCUUCUCAGGUGAAACAGAUCUGAACUUCUUCGGAACUGUCUACAGAUGCAGGCAUGUAGUGUUCGUUCAUGCUUUUGACUUGUUUGUUCUCACAGCAAAGCCAUGACAAAUUUAGAUUUGCAUUUUCUUAAAUGCAAAAUAGAGUUCUGAUGCAAUUCAGGUACAGAAUCCCAAACACACAGCUAAUAUUUAUGCAUGAAUCCAAAGUCAGUUCUAAGCUUGUUUCUGAAAAGAGCUUCUACUCAAGUUUACUUGAUACAAAAAGUUGUUAUGGCACUAACUGCUUUUUGGCACGAGAACAUUUAAUGCACCUAACACCUGCUCUGUACUAGUCACUUCUUGUCCAGUUUUUCAUUUAUAAGACAUUAAAAAAAUACACCACUAUCUAUUGGUGUUUAUAGCUUUGCUGUCAUGGCCACCUUCAAAACAAAUAGCUGUGCCAGCCACAAGCACACAGAUCACUGUGAAGAUGCUGAGGUUUGCCAUAAUGGAACGUACUGAGCAAUCUGUUCAUCUGUGGCUUCCAGGCUCCUUUCUCGUAAACAGCAAAUGCUUGCCCUGUGAAAUGAAGAUCAAAUUUGGGCAUGUGCAUAAAGGCAUAUUUAACCUCAGUUUUAGAACCCACGCCUCAAGUUUCAAUCCUUAGACUUACCACACAGUUGACAUUGAGUAUGGAAAGAACCUAAAUUACUUGAAGAUUUAUUCACUUGAUACAAAAAAAACUUAUUAAAAUCUAAAGGUUCAGGCAGCAGUGAUGUCAAAUCCUGAGAUCAAAAAUCUACUCCAAGUGAAACACUGACUUAUGUUUCUUGCAAAUAUUGACUUGUUAGUGGAAAAAAUAAUAAGUAUAAUCCACCUUUUACUCAACAGCAGAGCAAUGCCUGUAAUCAUCUCCAGAGGAAAGAUACACAUUCAAAUUGUCCUUUCCUAAGUAGAACAGUCAUUUAAUCUUAAUUUUCCCCACAAACAGGGAAGGUGAGCUAGCUUUUAUACUAUCUAGUAUCCAGAUGUGGUCAGUCUCUCCCAGUCAAGUGGUUCCAUCUUACAUGAAGCUUGCAGGAAUCUAGAGAAGAAGUUAUGACUGGAUGGAAUGCUGUUCAGGGCAUAAAUCUAUUGGAAGAUCUGGAAGUCAUGUUGGUUUAUCAUCUCUAACACAAGGAUAAAAAGAAAUAAAUCCAGUAAAGAAAGGACUAAGAUAGUCAAGGGCUAAAGCAUAGAAAAUAUGAGAAGUGGAGAGAACAGUGUUUAUUCAGCCUUGAGAAGUGAAGGCAAAGGGCAGACAACAUCACUGUCUAUAAAUACCUGAUUGGAACAAAUGAAGACAGAACCAGAUUGUUCUCAGAGAUGCACAGUAGAUAGAAGGAUAAGAGACCACAAACUCAGGUUGGAGCUGGGCUUGCCACCCUGGGGGACUCUGCAAUCCUCAGAACAACCUAGUCUCUGCAACAGCACAACAAAUUGCAAAGAAUCAUUCACAGAAUAAAAUCACCAGUUAAAAUAAUGACAAAUAUUACAAACCCUGUAUAAGAUACAAACCAUGGUCAUAAACACAUAUAAACCCCAAGCAUAUUUUCUCCAUGCUUUGACUGACACUACAUACAGUCCAAAAUAAAACACACGCCUCAACAUUUUAUUACUAUUUUAUGCUUUAAAACUAUUGUAAGUUUUUCAUAUUACUCCAUUAACUAGUUCUGGGUGCUUCUUUCUCUCACUUACCAUGACAUGAUCCUGGACUUCUCUACUACAGCCACCAGCAAGUGUCACAGGAUAUAAAUUACAGACUUUGCUCCCCUAGAAAUGUUUGCCCCCUUAAAGUUACUAUCUAAAAAUAAUUUUCUCCCUCUUGAGACUCACUGAGGCAGAAUUGACUUGAAAGUAAUUUCUUCAUCAGAUUUCACAGAAAAGUAAAAUUAACUAGCUUAUUUAAAACUGUUAUUAAAAGAUAAAAUAUAAAGCCAGUGAAAGAGAGCACUGGGCUGGUGAAUUAUUAGUGCUCAUCACACCAUUUUUUGACAGUUUAUAUUAUUCUGGAUGUUUUGCCUAGUAGUCUCGAUUGCACUUCAACAAAACAUUUUUGACUUUGCAUUUUCACCUGAUUUUUAUUGUGUUAAAAGCAAAUUACCUCAAAUAGGAAGCUUAGGCUGACAUUUAGAAAAUCAGACACAGUGAACUGAGUUUUUCCCAUAAAAUAAAGAAUUACUGUAAAGCCCAACUUGAAGCCAGAGCAAAGGGCAAACAUCUUUGACCAGCAUUCCCUAAGACAAAGCAAUACACAUAACUAAAUGUUCCAAAACAAAACUGCCAUAAAUAAGCCUUGUCUCCAGAGGAUGGCAGAAAGAAUACACCAUAUAUAACACUUUUCUUAGAUCAAUUAAAGCACAACAGGUUGGGGAUUAAUAAUCCAAGGAGAAUGGUCCAUGUUCACUGCCUGAGGUGUUGGUGUGACACUCCAAUUUCUGUCUUCUGCUUUCCUCCCUGCUGAACUUCUGUUCUCACAGCAGAGAGACAGGAAUCCAAAGCCCCAGUUUCAACAUGCCUUGACUAGCUCACACGUCACACACUAAGCAAGAGGCAAUUCUCAUAUUCUGCCAUUUUAAAAGCUGGGAUAAGGCCCCUUAAGAGUACUUCUGAAUCCUCAUUUUUCUUUGCAGCCCUUACUUUUUGUAUGUGCAUAUAUCCAGGAUUGUAAAGUAAAUUAUGGAUUUUUAGAUGUCCAACAAUAGUAUUUUCACACAUGCAUCUUAAGUGAGGUUGAAUGCAAGUUCAAACCAAACCACUGUCACCUAAGACAAACUAUUACCUCACUGAGAGUUAUCCAAGGUAUGAACAACCUUGGAUUCCAAAAAGAGGUGAUAGACUAGUAUGACCAUCUGCCAGUCAUAUAAAAUAUUCCUUCAUAUUAUUUCUAGCUAAUCCCCGCAAUUCAAUCUCGGAUGAUAGGACCCUUUUGUCAAAAGCUUCAAAUAUAAAUUGGCUGAUACAGGACUAGAGAGACAAAAAUAAAUGGUUAUCCUUUCACUCAAGCAAAAUAAGGGUUUAGUGUAGGAACAAGUGGAGAGCUUUCCAGCAGCUGUCAAAAUAAAGCCAGGGUAAAACAGAGACCAGACAUGGAAAAAGCUUCUGUCAACAUAAUUAAAUUUGGGCAAUGUGAAGGCACCUAAAAUAAAGGCUUCCUGCUGACUCUAACUGUAACUGUAAUAGUUUGUAUUACAUACAAACAUCCAUUACAAGAAACCUGACAAGAAUAUCUUAUGAUUAUGCACAUAUAAGCUAAUAAUAAUCCCUUUGCCAUGAUCAUAGAAGAGUCAGUUCUGGAUGGAAAAUGAUGAGACUAAAGAGACUUGACCUUGAAGAGGAAAAUUGACUAAAUUUAAAUAUUUUUCCUUAUUCACAAUGGAAAAAAAUAUGAAGUGGUGGGAAAAGUAUUUAAUUCUCAGAGUCCAUUUGAAAGUCUACUGAGAAAUAAAUCACUGGUAUUCAUUAGAAUGUCUCUCUAGCCAUAUCUUUUGGGAAAACUCAAGGAGAAAGUGUAUGCUAGAG